RNAcentral lists this ribosomal RNA (497 nucleotides) under uncultured bacterium. RNAcentral's name for it is "partial 16S ribosomal RNA". It matches the Rfam family "Bacterial small subunit ribosomal RNA", at positions 28 to 507 of the family's 1533-position model. The record is from RNAcentral.
GAUGAACGCUGGCGGCGUGCCUAAUACAUGCAAGUCGAGCGAACAGACGAGGAGCUUGCUCCUCUGACGUUAGCGGCGGACGGGUGAGUAACACGUGGAUAACCUACCUAUAAUACUGGGAUAACUUCGGGAAACCGGAGCUAAUACCGGAUAAUAUAUUGAACCGCAUGGUUCAAUAGUGAAAGACGGUUUUGCUGUCACUUUUAGAUGGAUUCGCGCCGCAUUAGCUAGUUGGUAAGGUAACGGCUUACCAAGGCGACGAUGCGUAGCCGACCUGAGAGGGUGAUCGGCCACACUGGAACUGAGACACGGUCCAGACUCCUACGGGAGGCAGCAGUAGGGAAUCUUCCGCAAUGGGCGAAAGCCUGACGGAGCAACGCCGCGUGAGUGAUGAAGGUCUUCGGAUCGUAAAACUCUGUUAUUAGGGAAGAAAAAAUGUGUAAGUAACUAUGCACGUCUUGACGGUACCUAAUCAGAAAGCCACGGCUAACUACGUG